Molecule: ribosomal RNA, 466 nt
Filed under: uncultured bacterium
Lineage: Bacteria
Description: partial 16S ribosomal RNA
Rfam family: Bacterial small subunit ribosomal RNA
Source: RNAcentral
GACGAACGCUGGCGGCGUGCUUAACACAUGCAAGUCGAACGGGAAGGCCUCUUUCGGGGGGUACUCGAGUGGCGAACGGGUGAGUAACACGUGAGUAACCUGCCCUUGACUUUGGGAUAACUUCAGGAAACUGGGGCUAAUACCGGAUAGGAGCUCCUGCUGCAUGGUGGGGGUUGGAAAGUUUCGGCGGUUGGGGAUGGACUCGCGGCUUAUCAGCUUGUUGGUGGGGUAGUGGCUUACCAAGGCUUUGACGGGUAGCCGGCCUGAGAGGGUGACCGGCCACAUUGGGACUGAGAUACGGCCCAGACUCCUACGGGAGGCAGCAGUGGGGAAUAUUGCACAAUGGGUGGAAGCCUGAUGCAGCAACGCCGUGUGCGGGAUGACGGCCUUCGGGUUGUAAACCGCUUUCGCUCAUGACGAAGCUUUGUGUGACGGUAGUGGGUAAAGAAGCACCGGCUAACUACGU